GAUGAACGCUGGCGGCGUGCCUAAUACAUGCAAGUCGAGCGAACAGACGAGGAGCUUGCUCCUCUGACGUUAGCGGCGGACGGGUGAGUAACACGUGGAUAACCUACCUCUUAGACUGGGAUAACUUCGGGAAACCGGAGCUAAUACCGGAUAAUAUAUUGAACCGCAUGGUUCAAUAGUGAAAGACGGUUUUGCUGUCACUUAUAGAUGGAUCCGCGUUGCCUUAGCUAGUUGGUAAGGUAACGGCUUACCAAGGCAACGAUGCGUAGCCGACCUGAGAGGGUGAUCCGCCACACUGGAACUAAGACACGAUCCAGACUCCUACGGGAGGCAGCAGUAGGGAAUCUUCCGCAAUGGGCGAAAGCCUGACGGAGCAACGCCGCGUGAGUGAUGAAGGUCUUCGGAUCGUAAAACUCUGUUAUUCGGGAAGAACAAAUGUGUAAGUAACUAUGCACGUCUUGACGGUACCUAAUCAGAAAGCCACGGCUAACUACGUG
This 497-nucleotide ribosomal RNA is filed under the name uncultured bacterium. Its description in RNAcentral is "partial 16S ribosomal RNA". It matches the Rfam family "Bacterial small subunit ribosomal RNA", at positions 28 to 507 of the family's 1533-position model. The record is from RNAcentral.